GAUGAAGAACGCAGCGAAAUGCGAUACGUAAUGUGAAUUGCAAAUUCAGUGAAUCAUCGAGUCUUUGAACGCACAUUGCGCCCCCUGGUAUUCCGGGGGGCAUGCCUGUCCGAGCGUCAUUGCUGCCCUCAAGCACGGCUUGUGUGUUGGGCCCCGUCCUCCGAUCCCGGGGGACGGGCCCGAAAGGCAGCGGCGGCACCGCGUCCGGUCCUCGAGCGUAUGGGGCUUUGUCACCCGCUCUGUAGGCCCGGCCGGCGCUUGCCGAUCAACCCAAAUUUUUAUCCAGGUUGACCUCGGAUCAGGUAGGGAUACCCGCUGAAUUUAAGCAUAUCAAUAAGCGGAGGA
Molecule: unclassified non-coding RNA, 345 nt
Filed under: soil metagenome
Description: partial contains 5.8S ribosomal RNA, internal transcribed spacer 2, and large subunit ribosomal RNA
Rfam family: 5.8S ribosomal RNA (bases 1-119)
Source: RNAcentral